GGCGCGCGCCGCCGUGAGGGCGCCGCGGCGGCUUCCGGUUCCGCCGGGCGCGGCGGCCGCGGCGCUUCCCGGGCAUGCUGCAUGGUGUCCUGUGGUGCUUCCUGUGGGAUAGAGGAAUGAAGGGAAGGGGCAGAGACAAUGAGUUUAAGGCAUUCACGGAGCAGCAGUGCAGACUCUCGCAUAACAAGGCUGUGAAAUCUGAUCUCUGGAACUCUCAGUGAAGACAUCUACUUGAUACUUGCAAUGUAAAUUAGCCUGUAUUCUAGUAUCUUUGGAUGUUCACUUUAUCUUUGAUCAGUAUGUUCUCCAUUUGCUGCCCUGAUACACCCAAGGGAGCCCUACAAACUGACAUCAGGAACCUGGACUGCUGAGUUUUCUUUCCCAGGGAAAAUGGAAAAAGGAUG
RNAcentral lists this long non-coding RNA (404 nucleotides) under Lonchura striata (white-rumped munia). Its description in RNAcentral is "domestica (Bengalese finch) lncRNA (ENSLSDG00000003967.1)". Lineage: Eukaryota; Metazoa; Chordata; Aves; Passeriformes; Estrildidae. The record is from RNAcentral.